Molecule: non-coding RNA, 26 nt
Filed under: Rattus norvegicus (Norway rat)
Lineage: Eukaryota; Metazoa; Chordata; Mammalia; Rodentia; Muridae
Source: RNAcentral
UCUGAGCAUGCUUCUUCAUAGGAAAG